AUUAUAUGCACGCAGCAGAAGAGGAAAGAAGUACCGCUGACAGGAAGACCUAGGGUCUUUUUUAGCCAGAGGUCUCUAUAGACAUGCCAUCAAUAGUAAUGGCAACCGCAGUGUAUCAUCGUGACGAUGUGCUUAAUCAGGGCUCAGGUGUUGAGGAUGUAGACUUGGGAGAGCCCCUUGUUGGUGUGCUUAAGGCAUCCUGGUUUCAGUCAGGUCAGGUCCCCUCACCUAAUACUGGCCUGAGGCCCAAGACCAAGAUACAAGGACUGAGGCUGAAUGGUGGAUAAAGAUUGCGAAUUUGCACAGCUAUAAAGCUUACUAAUUAAAGACUACAAACACAAAGAGAGCAAGCCUUGUGAUGACUGCACAAUAACGAGGAUUCAGAUACAACGUGGUCGCCACCUGACGCCCACCUCCACAAAAAGCCAUUCUCAAAAGGAGAGAGACAUUCAUAUCCAGAAGAGGGAGUCGGCUGUAGGGUAGAGCACUUCAAAUGCAUCAAAGGUCCAGAGAGAAGCUUCUUCUGGUCACCUUGAUCUUGUGAUGCAAGGCAGGUGGGAGCAAGGGCUCCACCU
Molecule: long non-coding RNA, 575 nt
Filed under: Homo sapiens (human)
Lineage: Eukaryota; Metazoa; Chordata; Mammalia; Primates; Hominidae
Description: non-protein coding lnc-AKR1C2-3:9
Source: RNAcentral